This 500-nucleotide ribosomal RNA is filed under the name uncultured bacterium. Its description in RNAcentral is "partial 16S ribosomal RNA". It matches the Rfam family "Bacterial small subunit ribosomal RNA", at positions 29 to 523 of the family's 1533-position model. The record is from RNAcentral.
AUUGAACGCUAGCGGGAUGCCUUACACAUGCAAGUCGAACGGCAGCACGGACUUCGGUCUGGUGGCGAGUGGCGAACGGGUGAGUAAUGUAUCGGAACGUGCCCAGUAGCGGGGGAUAACUACUCGAAAGAGUAGCUAAUACCGCAUACGCCCUACGGGGGAAAGGGGGGGAUCGCAAGACCUCUCACUAUUGGAGCGGCCGAUAUCGGAUUAGCUAGUUGGUGGGGUAAAGGCCCACCAAGGCGACGAUCCGUAGCUGGGUUGAGAGGACGACCAGCCACACUGGGACUGAGACACGGCCCAGACUCCUACGGGAGGCAGCAGUGGGGAAUUUUGGACAAUGGGGGCAACCCUGGUCCAGCCAUCCCGCGUGUGCGAUGAAGGGCUUCGGGUUGUAAAGCACUUUUGGCAGGAAAGAAAUCGCACGGGCUAAUACCUCGUGUGGAUGACGGUACCUGCAGAAUAAGCACCGGCUAACUACGUGCCAGCAGCCGCCGCCG